GAGACAGCAGUCGCCGCGGGAAUACGUAGGUGGCAAGCGUUGUCCGGAAUUAUUGGGCGUAAAGGGCUCGCAGGCGGUUUCUUAAGUCUGAUGUGAAAGCCCCCGGCUCAACCGGGGAGGGUCAUUGGAAACUGGGAAACUUGAGUGCAGAAGAGGAGAGUGGAAUUCCACGUGUAGCGGUGAAAUGCGUAGAGAUGUGGAGGAACACCAGUGGCGAAGGCGACUCUCUGGUCUGUAACUGACGCUGAGGAGCGAAAGCGUGGGGAGCAAACAGGAUUAGAUACCCCAGUAGUCCCUGUCUCUUAUAA
Molecule: ribosomal RNA, 308 nt
Filed under: uncultured bacterium
Lineage: Bacteria
Description: partial 16S ribosomal RNA
Rfam family: Bacterial small subunit ribosomal RNA
Source: RNAcentral